UCCUCCAAGGCUAAAUACUCCUGACUGACCGAUAGUGAACCAGUACCGUGAGGGAAAGGCGAAAAGAACCCCGGCGAGGGGAGUGAAAAAGAACCUGAAACCGUGUACGUACAAGCAGUGGGAGCACCCUUUGGGGUGUGACUGCGUACCUUUUGUAUAAUGGGUCAGCGACUUAUAUUCUGUAGCAAGGUUAACCGUAUAGGGGAGCCGUAGGGAAACCGAGUCUUAACCGGGCGUUAAGUUGCAGGGUAUAGACCCGAAACCCGGUGAUCUAGCCAUGGGCAGGUUGAAGGUUGGGUAACACUAACUGGAGGACCGAACCGACUAAUGUUGAAAAAUUAGCGGAUGACCUGUGGCUGGGGGUGAAAGGCCAAUCAAACCGGGAGAUAGCUGGUUCUCCCCGAAAGCUAUUUAGGUAGCGCCUCGUGAAUUCAUCUCCGGGGGUAGAGCACUGUUUCGGCUAGGGGGCCAUCCCGGCUUACCAACCCGAUGCAAACUGCGAAUACCGGAGAAUGUUAUCACGGGAGACACACGGCGGGUGCUAACGUCCGUCGUGAAGAGGGAAACAACCCAGACCGCCAGCUAAGGUCCCAAAGUCAUGGUUAAGUGGGAAACGAUGUGGGAAGGCCCAGACAGCCAGGAUGUUGGCUUAGAAGCAGCCAUCAUUUAAAGAAAGCGUAAUAGCUCACUGGUCGAGUCGGCCUGCGCGGAAGAUGUAACGGGGCUAAACCAUG
Molecule: ribosomal RNA, 734 nt
Filed under: Salmonella enterica subsp. enterica serovar Virchow
Lineage: Bacteria; Pseudomonadati; Pseudomonadota; Gammaproteobacteria; Enterobacterales; Enterobacteriaceae
Description: partial 23S ribosomal RNA
Rfam family: Bacterial large subunit ribosomal RNA
Source: RNAcentral